CGGCAAUGGAGGAAACUCUGACCGAGCAACGCCGCGUGAACGAUGAAGUAUUUCGGUACGUAAAGUUCUUUUAUUAGGGAAGAAUAAAUGAUGGAAAAAUCAUUCUGACGGUACCUAAUGAAUAAGCCCCGGCUAACUAUGUGCCAGCAGCCGCGGUAAUACAUAGGGGGCAAGCGUUAUCCGGAAUUAUUGGGCGUAAAGGGUGCGUAGGCGGUUAAAUAAGUUUAUGGUCUAAGUGCAAUGCUCAACAUUGUGAUGCUAUAAAAACUGUUUAGCUAGAGUAAGAUAGAGGCAAGUGGAAUUCCAUGUGUAGUGGUAAAAUGCGUAAAUAUAUGGAGGAACACCAGUAGCGAAGGCGGCUUGCUGGGUCUUUACUGACGCUGAGGCACGAAAGCGUGGGGAGCAAACAGGAUUAGAUACCCUGGUAGUCCACGCCGUAAACGAUGAGUACUAAACGUUGGGUAAAACCAGUGUUGAAGUUAACACAUUAAGUACUCCGCCUGAGUAGUACGUACGCAAGUAUGAAACUUAAAGGAAUUGACGGGACUCCGCACAAGCGGUGGAUCAUGUUGUUUAAUUCGAAGGUACCCGAAAAACCUCACCAGGUCUUGACAUGCUUCUGCAAAGCUGUAGAAACACAGUGGAGGUUAUCAGUUGCACAGGUGGUGCAUGGUUGUCGUCAGCUCGUGUCGUGAGAUGUUGGGUUAAGUCCCGCAACGAGCGCAACCCUUAUUGUUAGUUACCAGCACGUAAUGGUGGGGACUUUAGCAAGACUGCCAGUGAUAAAUUGGAGGAAGGUGGGGACGACGUCAAAUCAUCAUGCCCCUUAGACCGGGGCUACAAACGUGAUACAAUGGCUGUUACAAAGAGUAGCUGAA
Molecule: ribosomal RNA, 878 nt
Filed under: 'Melia azedarach' phytoplasma
Lineage: Bacteria; Bacillati; Mycoplasmatota; Mollicutes; Acholeplasmatales; Acholeplasmataceae
Description: bacterial SSU rRNA
Rfam family: Bacterial small subunit ribosomal RNA
Source: RNAcentral